This 257-nucleotide ribosomal RNA is filed under the name Salinicoccus sp. RNAcentral's name for it is "partial 16S ribosomal RNA". It matches the Rfam family "Bacterial small subunit ribosomal RNA", at positions 75 to 328 of the family's 1533-position model. Lineage: Bacteria; Bacillati; Bacillota; Bacilli; Caryophanales; Staphylococcaceae. The record is from RNAcentral.
UUGCUCCUGUGACGCGAGUGGCGGACGGGUGAGUAACACGUAGGCAACCUGCCCAUCAGACUGGGAUAACCACGGGAAACCGUGGCUAAUACCGGAUAACCCUUUUCCACACAGGUGGGAAAGUUGAAAGGCGGCUUCGGCUGUCACUGAUGGAUGGGCCUGCGGCGCAUUAGCUGGUUGGUGGGGUAACGGGCCCCCCAAGGGACGAUGCGUAGCCGACCUGAGAGGGUGAUCGGCCACACUGGGACUGAGACACG